This 1072-nucleotide long non-coding RNA is filed under the name Rattus norvegicus (Norway rat). RNAcentral's name for it is "long non-coding RNA NONRATT006766". The record is from RNAcentral. Lineage: Eukaryota; Metazoa; Chordata; Mammalia; Rodentia; Muridae.
GUAAGUACGCUGUGUGCAUGCUUGGCUUCUGCACAGGUUAGAAGAAGGAGUCGAGUCUCCUCAAACUGGAGUUACAGAUGACUGUAAGCCACCAUAUAGGGGCUGGGACCUGAACAGGUUUUCUCAAAGAAUAGCCACUGCUCAUGACCAUCGGGCCAUUUCAUUGACAGCCAGUGCUGGUGACUGCCGGGCUAUUUCAUUAUCCUACUACCUUGAAUUUCAUUUUUAUUUUAUAAUGUGCAUACGUCCAUUGGUGUAUUAUAUAUGUACUUAUGGUAGGUUUUAUACUCAAGGGGACCAAACAAAAAUAAUUUUGGAGGUCUAGAACCUAUAACAAAAAGGUCCCCUACUAAGCUUGUCAAUAACCAUUUUCCUCAACUGCUUCCUUUUUUCUAUUUGAGAAGAGACUGUUUAAUAAGAUUAUGAGCAGUGUUUGAUGAAGGUGCUUACUGACCCUAAUAAUGGACAGGGUGGGCAUUCACCGUGUUCUCUGAAGCCUCAGAUGUAGUGAAGACAAGGGCUAAAGAGCCUCACAGGGCACUUAGCUAGAUAUUUUUAAGAAUGUGUUGAAAAGAAAUCCACAAAGACCAGGACACCUGGUCAUGCCGGAUCCAUUAUGGCUCUCAAGACUGUCAUCAUUUGUGUGACCCAAGGGACUAUGAACCUAGGAAAGAACUGAGCAGAACUUUAUGUAAAUAUCCCCAGCGGUAUGAGCCACAGUAUUAUAUUGAGUUCCAUAUAGAAGCUCAGUGAUUCAACAGCCAUAUUAGAAUGAUUUUUAAUUUAAUUUUUAGAUCUGAUUAAAAAGAAAAUUUCUAGUUUGCUGCUGGUAACGCUAAUGUUUUGGCAACUCUAGUUCUAAAAUACCAGAAACUCUAGUGUUCUAAAGCUUCAUCUUUGGGCUAGAGAGAGGGCUCAGUAAUUGAGAAAUUUGCUGCUAUUUCAUCAGGUCUAGAUGUGUUUCCUGGCACUCACAUGGCUGUUGACAUGUGGCUGUAACUCCAGUUGUGGAGGAUCCUACCUCCUCUGACCUCCAUGGGCACCAGUACAGCUGUGGUGCACAGGUAUGCAU